GACGAACGCUGGCGGCGUGCUUAACACAUGCAAGUCGAACGGAAAGGCCCUGCUUUUGUGGGGUGCUCGAGUGGCGAACGGGUGAGUAACACGUGAGUAACCUGCCCUUGACUUUGGGAUAACUUCAGGAAACUGGGGCUAAUACCGGAUAGGAGCUCCUGCUGCAUGGUGGGGGUUGGAAAGUUUCGGCGGUUGGGGAUGGACUCGCGGCUUAUCAGCUUGUUGGUGGGGUAGUGGCUUACCAAGGCUUUGACGGGUAGCCGGCCUGAGAGGGUGACCGGCGACAUUGGGACUGAGAUACGGACCAGACUCCUACGGGAGGCAGCAGUGGGGAAUAUUGCACAGUGGGCGGAAGCCUGAUGCAGCAACGCCGCGUGCGUGAUGACGGCCUUCGGGUGGUAAACCGCUUUCGCCUGUGACGAAGCGUGAGUGACGGUAAUGGGUAAAGAAGCACCGGCUAACUACGUG
RNAcentral lists this ribosomal RNA (468 nucleotides) under uncultured bacterium. RNAcentral's name for it is "partial 16S ribosomal RNA". It matches the Rfam family "Bacterial small subunit ribosomal RNA", at positions 28 to 507 of the family's 1533-position model. The record is from RNAcentral.